ACUUCGGUAAGUUCGAAACAGUCAUUUAAUGGUUGAGAGCGAAGAUCGGUGAAACGAAUAACAUCUGCCAAGGUAUAAAAGCCGUGACACGAUUGUAAGAGUCGAAAGAAACAGCUGGCCCACAAAAGAAUUCUUUCUGACCGCUCAUCGAUGGCGAAUGAUCGCUUUCGAUCGAACGCUGAUUCAUGCGGUCCGAAUUUCGGACGCUGCUCGUCGCAUGCCGAGUCGAUGAUGUGUUAAAUCGUCGAUCGCGCUUCUUUUUAAUUUUUCCAAUUGUAAGAAGAUUGAUUUCGAUGAAGACAGAAUGGUGAGCAUCGAAUAAUAUCGAUAAAGAGAACGAGAUAAUCAAAAACGUGAGAUAAGCUAUACAUUUGCGAUUAAUUAAAAUAUUAAAAAGUAAUUCAAACCAAAGGAUCGAUUCAUCUGGCUAUUAUAAUACAUCGAUGUGUUUAUUAAUCGUCACUAAAUAAAUCAUUUUUAAAGGAACGAACGAUAUACCUAAGUGAAAAAAUAAGAGAUGUCAUAAGAUAAAAUAAUUUGUUUUCUUAAUUGCGAUGCAACGAUAAUCUAGAUCUGUUAUAAUGAUUUGAUGAGAAUAGAUAUAUGAAUACAAGCGAUUCAUUCUUAUCGCCCUUUGGUUGAAAGCAAAGCUACACAUCCUUCGUUACGGUCAUGGCAACAUUACCAACGCUACGUUUACCGUGUCGAGAAUUACUGGUCCCCAGCUACGAUUAAAUAGAUCUUGUGUUCUCCAGUGCUGGAACAAAGCAACGCGUGCGCAUAUCUAGUAUGACCAGAAUGCAAGGAAGUCGUGUGCUGUAAAACACGUUGCGUCGUAAGCAGCGAUGGCAGUAGCACCUUUGUCGUGGAAGCACCUUGAGUACAAAGAAACGACAAUAUCUAUUCUCUCUCGGAGCAGUAUCGUACGAGCACGUAUUACCGUUAACCAUAAACAUUUGACAUUUUCUACGAACAUACACUUCGUCGAGAAAAGUGAAUUACACUGUUGUUAGGCGCACGCGCGGGUGGAGCACAUCCUUGGAUCCAACUUACGUCUACGAGAACACGAUGAUGGCAUUAUAAACUUCUACUUAUGCAUUACGACUUCCGAAGCAAUGUAAUAGGCUCAAACGACUUUAUAACUGUCAACGGGACGUAUUAAAUUAACCUUUCGAACCGAACCUUAUAUCUAUUAACGACAUAAAGACUCGAUAAUAUAUCACAUGUCAACUAUUAUUCUGGAAUUCUUAUUACACAAUUCAAGUAAUUUAUCUUAUUUCCAUUAACUUUCAAGGAGCAAUUUGAAUGUGAUCAGGAAUGGAGUCAAUUGAAGUUGACAUUGCAUGGACGAACUUGCUGGCGCCGAGGUUGAAAUAAUUCAGCAUAUUACACGCAUAGUUUACCGCGCGAAAUGUUCCGCCAUUUCUAACCACUUUGACUCUUCUUCUUCCUUUCUUAGUAAUCGCGUGAGUACAAAACGUUUAUCCUUUUGAUAACAAGUUAUCUAUAAUAUUUAUUAAAUAAUAUAAUGAAAAGCAAAGGUUUGCCUUGUAGCGAUUUAAUAUUUCUCGUUUAUGUUAUAAAUACGUUCGAAAUAGAGUUAAAUAUAGUUCCUUAUGCUGCAUUUUUGUAUUCUCUCCCUUUCUCUUUCUCUCUCUCUUUCUUUCUUUCAAUAUCGUACUUUAGAAGCCCGCAUGUGCACCUGAUCCGAGUACUCACGCGAUUGCAAUGGCAUACUGCUUUCAAACGAACGGGAUCUUAAAGUUGACGAAGAAAGGAGUUCGGUUUAUCGUGCUAAGAAUUUAUUAUGCCGCUGGCUGUGUGAUACUUCGACUCUAUGUCGGAAGUACCGAAUAAUAAAAAAUCAACUAUUUGUUAAUCACGAAUACACUUCAUGAACAUUACAAGAAUCUCAAUAAACAUAUAGAGAAACAAGAAAACGCAAUUUCAUUAUCUUUCCGUAUGAAUAUGGCAACCCUCGUAAAAAUGAUAAAUGUCUAAAAACCUGUCUCUGACGAUGAAGUUUCAAACGAAAAAGAAAAGUCACGUUACACACUUUAUCCAACGGAAUCGUCAUUACGUCGACAAUUCUGUGAUAACUUUUCUUCCUCCUUGAUGAUAUUCCUUCUUGGUAUCUCCGAUCCUAAGAAAAUCAUUUUCCUAUUCCAAGGCUAUCACAUUAAAUGCAGUUAUAUGUAUGUAUGU
Molecule: long non-coding RNA, 2205 nt
Organism: Vespa crabro (European hornet)
Lineage: Eukaryota; Metazoa; Arthropoda; Insecta; Hymenoptera; Vespidae
Exons: 3
Source: RefSeq, a predicted model, not a curated record